ACCAUACCACCUGGAAUGCUCCCAAUCUUGUAUGAUCUUGGAAGCUAAGCAGGGUUGGCCCUGAUUAAUACUUGGAUGGGAGAAGGCAUUGGUGCCUAGGGCAAGUU
This 107-nucleotide ribosomal RNA is filed under the name Nomascus leucogenys (northern white-cheeked gibbon). Lineage: Eukaryota; Metazoa; Chordata; Mammalia; Primates; Hylobatidae. The record is from RNAcentral.